GAACAAAACAAAACCCGGUCAUGAAUUAGAAGUACAAACCGAGGAUUUGCAAAGAAAAAUGUCGGAGGAUUUCAAUAUAAACCAAAAGGAGACUGGUUUUCCUUUGCUAAAGUAACGAAACUUUACGUCAUUUGCUCCUAAAAACAACUGUCAAGACUAGCAUAUCUCUGAGGCGCCCGCUGCGCAUACGUGCUGCGUCAUCCGCUGGAACGUCUUCCGUGUAUGACAGAGAACGGAAGUGAGAGAAACGUGUUUAUUACGUUUGAAAAAUUUAUAUUUUUCUUACAAAAACUCAUAGAUUCACUACAGGAGGUGUUUACACAAGUAGAGUUUUUAUAAUGCACGACUGCAAUGAUAAGAGCUUGGAAUAGCCAGGGCGAUUUUUAAUAUAACUCAGACUGGAUUAGUCUGAAAGAAGAAAGUCAUAUACACCUAGGAUGGCUCGAGGUUCCUCCUACUGAUAUGGGUGUAAAAAUGCUGCAGUGCUUUCCCUUCUACAGACGCUGCAAGGAGAGGUGCAAAAAACAGUGCCCUCCUGAGACGGCAGUAGCAAGUGAAGAGGUGAAACCUCGGCUAUGUUCCACUACCUCUUGGGGCAGUGAAGGGGACAGCAGCAAUCUGAGCUGCCCACAGGCCUAUUUUUCCCACAAGGCUCGGCUCUCACUUCGACACCAGAUGGAUAGCAACAUCAAUGCAGUGGAUGCAACAUACUAACUUUUCUCUGCAGAACCCUUGAAAGUAAACUUUAGAUUUACAGCCCCAGUCCAGUUUAAGUCCCUUAUUGGAGAGUUUUUGCCGGGAACUGGAGGAUGAGCCAUUAGGAGGAACAAGCAGCAUGGAAGUUUGCCUCUCUUUGAAUGCUUAUGGACACUCAUGAGCAUCAGCUGUAUGCAUUGCAGUAACAAUAUCAAAAUAAGUGUCAGAAUUUAAUUUAACAAUACAGCAGCAAGUGUAAAAUGGUACAGCUGAGUGUAAUUUGGUGAAAGGGGAUAUUAUGAAACACUCUUAAGAGUUACAGUAUGUUUACAUGAUAACCAAUAAGUGCUUUUUUUCCUAGCCUGCAUUUGCCCUCCAUAGCAACUGCUAUACAUGAAUCUGCAGUAUCUGAACUGGAUAAUGGCUUUAUCUGAGGAGACACCGACAUCAUUAUGCAAUUGGGUUUUUUGAGCCCGAUAUAAAUUCGUUCCGUAGGAUUCUUUGAUGAAUAGCAGUCUACCUAAUAAAAUCAACCACGUUUUGCCUUGCUGGUGAUAAAUUCAGUGUGUAUUGUGAAGCAACUGAAUGUUUUUCUUCUUUUACAUAAAAAGAAAGGAGGUUUCUAAAGCUUAUUUUGUUUUCUGUGUAAGUGCCAUUUUCUAUGCCCUGCAGCUGCAUCAAGGUCCAUUAACAGUGUGCACAGCUCUAACUUUAAUUACAUUUUUUAUUAUGUUUAGAUUUCAGGGCUUUUUGAAAUAUGCCCUGACCAUAAACACAUUUUGCUUGAGAAGUGUUUUUGAAACAAUUCUAUAAAAGAUGGUUGGUUGGUUGGACUUUAUGCAAGAAGGCCUGGUUUUUAAAUCUUUAUAAGGUUUUCUUCUUAUUGCAUGUAUAAAACCGGUCAAGUGAAAGGAGAAGUUUGUUGUGUUUGAAAAAACAUGUUUUUCAUUAUGUGUAUCUGGACUUCUUCACAUUGUUGUGUGCAUAUGUAUUAAAAUUUGAAUUUUUUAAACAUUAAAGGUGGAUUUUUACACCCUAACCCAGUAAAAGAACAGAAUUCACAAGACACUGUUACACACUGUUAAAAAAAUGUAUAACAAAUAAAAAAGACAGAAAACUAAAUUACAAUGAAGUUAAAACAACACAUGAAUUGUUGUUUUCACUGAUGAUUGUAAAAAUAAUAAUUAAAAAUAAAACUGUUUUUCAAAAAGAAA
This is an RNA transcript of Cyprinus carpio (common carp), 1910 nucleotides long. RefSeq lists it as uncharacterized. Lineage: Eukaryota; Metazoa; Chordata; Actinopteri; Cypriniformes; Cyprinidae. The record is from RefSeq and is a predicted model, not a curated record.